Molecule: unclassified non-coding RNA, 335 nt
Filed under: uncultured fungus
Lineage: Eukaryota; Fungi
Description: partial contains 5.8S ribosomal RNA and internal transcribed spacer 2
Rfam family: 5.8S ribosomal RNA (bases 1-133)
Source: RNAcentral
UGGUUCCGGCAUNGAUGAAGAACGCAGCGAAAUGCGAUAACUAAUGUGAAUUGCAGAAUUCAGUGAAUCAUCGAGUCUUUGAACGCACAUUGCGCCCUCUGGUAUUCCGGAGGGCAUGCCUGUCCGAGCGUCAUUGCUGCCCUCCAGCCCGGCUGGUGUGUUGGGCCCCGCCCCCCUUCCCGGGGGGGCGGGCCCGAAAGGCAGCGGCGGCACCGCGUCCGGUCCUCGAGCGUAUGGGGCUUUGUCACCCGCUCUUGUAGGCCCGGCCGGCGCCAGCCGACCCCCUCAAUCUAUUUUUUCAGGUUGACCUCGGAUCAGGUAGGGAUACCCGCUGA